AUGCUUCUCCCGGAAGCUCUGGUUAAGCCUCCGUCCGUGUCCUGUCUGUGGAGCGACGCCCCUCUGGCCACACCCACAGCCGCCUCGCGCACGAGCAGGACGAACCUAGCACCAGAAUCAGCAGGAAAAGCCGGCUCCUCCCGGGUGGGGUUCACCGGGCAACGCCUGGCCCCUUGGACUGACUGGCUUUGCAGAGAUGGGGGCUGGGCAGGACACAAAGUCCCCCAGGGACGUGGCCGAGGCUGGGGUGUGGCGGGGCCGAGGUCCGCCCUGCCCCCUGCCCCUGCCGGGCCUGGAGCCCCCGCUGUGAGGACGUCUUACCGCGCGGCCUCCCCCGUUGGCUCCGGACCCCAGCAGGGGCCCGCACAGAGCAGCACACACGGGCACCAAAGCCACCACUCCUUUAAGUCGCCGGGUUUGCUACAGUACCUGAGCCGGCCCUGCAGGGGCGGCGGGCUGCAGGGGCAGAAAAAUCUUUACAUAAAUACGGGCCAGGUGGACGGGGCCACAGACGUCCAGGGCCUAGCACCAGAGGAACCCGCUCUCAGUCCCAGCCAGGGCCGUGCAGCCCGAGGCCCAGCGGGGCUCCAGAGCCGGGCCGGGCAGGGCCUCUCCUCCCGGCCACACGAGCGGCUGCACAGCUGUCCACGGUCUGCCCACGCCCUGCGCAGACAGGGGCACGCGGGGUCCCUCCUCAGUUGUCACCAAAGGCUGGGGCCCUGCGGGGUGGGGCCGCCUCUGGGUUGGUGCUUUGAGGUUCCACCGCUGGGCCUGGGCGUGGCUCUGCUGGAGGCUGGCGGUGUGGCCUCUGGGGAGGAGGAGGAAGGCGGUCAGCCCCGGGGAAGCUGGGAGCCCCCCAAACGCCACCCCCACCUCUCUCAGCCCACCGCUCAGCCCACUCAGGGGGCAGCAACCGGCCCCCGCCCAGCUCACUCCCAGCCCUUCCCUGAAAUCCACACCCUGGAUGGGCCAGAGCCACCUGUGCGUCCUCCAGGCUUGGCCACAAGGCCACCCUCCUGGCCAGUCUGGGGGACAGACCCCCCCACCCCUCACCUAGGCCCCGGCUGCGGCCUGGGGCGCAGUACCACAUGUGGCCACUAG
RNAcentral lists this long non-coding RNA (1101 nucleotides) under Oryctolagus cuniculus (rabbit). Its description in RNAcentral is "lncRNA (ENSOCUG00000035937.1)". Lineage: Eukaryota; Metazoa; Chordata; Mammalia; Lagomorpha; Leporidae. The record is from RNAcentral.